UGACUNGAGUGCAGAAGGGGAGAGUGGAAUUCCAUGUGUAGCGGUGAAAUGCGUAGAUAUAUGGAGGANCACCAGUGGCGAAAGCGGCUCUCUGGUCUGUCACUGACGCUGAGGCUCGAAAGCGUGGGUAGCGAACAGGAUUAGAUACCCUGGUAGUCCACGCCGUAAACGAUGAGUGCUAGGUGUUAGGCCCUUUCCGGGGCUUAGUGCCGGAGCUAACGCAAUAAGCACUCCGCCUGGGGAGUACGACCGCAAGGUUGAAACUCAAAGGAAUUGACGGGGGCCCGCACAAGCGGUGGAGCAUGUGGUUUAAUUCGAAGCAACGCGAAGAACCUUACCAGGUCUUGACAUCCCGAUGCUAUUCUUAGAGAUAGGAAGUUACUUCGGUACAUCGGAGACAGGUGGUGCAUGGUUGUCGUCAGCUCGUGUCGUGAGAUGUUGGGUUAAGUCCCGCGACGAGCGCAACCCUUAUUGUUAGUUGCCAUCAUUAAGUUGGGCACUCUAGCGAGACUGCCGGUAAUAAACCGGAGGAAGGUGGGGAUGACGUCAAAUCAUCAUGCCCCUUAUGACCUGGACUACACACGUGCUACAAUGGUCGGUACAACGAGUUGCGAGCCGGUGACGGCAAGCUAAUCUCUGAAAGCCGAUCUCAGUUCGGAUUGGAGGCUGCAACUCGCCUCCAUGAAGUCGGAAUCGCUAGUAAUCGCGGAUCAGCACGCCGCGGUGAAUACGUUCCCGGGCCUUGUACACACCGCCCGUCACACCACGAGAGUUUGUAACACCCGAAGUCGGUGA
RNAcentral lists this ribosomal RNA (795 nucleotides) under uncultured bacterium. Its description in RNAcentral is "bacterial SSU rRNA". It matches the Rfam family "Bacterial small subunit ribosomal RNA", at positions 638 to 1433 of the family's 1533-position model. The record is from RNAcentral.